RNAcentral lists this ribosomal RNA (788 nucleotides) under marine sediment metagenome. Its description in RNAcentral is "bacterial SSU rRNA". It matches the Rfam family "Bacterial small subunit ribosomal RNA", at positions 735 to 1520 of the family's 1533-position model. The record is from RNAcentral.
CGUAGCUGACGCUGAGGCGCGAAAGCCGGGGGAGCGAACAGGAUUAGAUACCCUGGUAGUCCCGGCCGUAAACGAUGGGGACUAGGUGUAGGGGGUACUGACCCCCUCUGUGCCGCAGUUAACGCAUUAAGUACCCCGCCUGGGGAGUACGCACGCAAGUGUGAAACUCAAAGGAAUUGACGGGGCCCCGCACAAGCGGUGGAGCAUGUGGAUCAAUUCGACGCAACGCGAAGAACCUUACCGGGGUUUGACAUGUACCGGACUGGCAUGGAAACAUGCCUUCCCUUCGGGGCUGGUACACAGGUGCUGCAUGGCUGUCGUCAGCUCGUGUCGUGAGAUGUUGGGUUAAGUCCCGCAACGAGCGCAACCCUCGUCGCCUGUUGCCAUCAGGUUAAGCUGGGCACUCUGGCGAGACUGCCCGCGAUAUGCGGGAGGAAGGCGGGGAUGACGUCAAGUCCUCAUGGUCCUUACAUCCCGGGCUUCACACGUGCUACAAUGGCCGGUACAAAGGGUUGCAAUACCGCGAGGUGGAGCCAAUCCCAAAAAGCCGGUCUCAGUUCGGAUUGGAGUCUGCAACUCGACUCCAUGAAGUCGGAAUCGCUAGUAAUCGUGGAUCAGCAUGCCACGGUGAAUACGUUCCCGGGGCUUGUACACACCGCCCGUCAAGCCACGAAAGCUGAUAGUACCCGAAGUCGCUGAGCCGACCCGCAAGGGAAGCAGGCGCCGAAGGUAAGAUUAGCGAUUGGGGCUAAGUCGUAACAAGGUAGCCGUACCGGAAGGUGUGGCUG